GUGAGGAAUAUUGGACAAUGGGCGCAAGCCUGAUCCAGCAAUGCCGCGUGCAGGAAGAAGGCCUUCGGGUUGUAAACUGCUUUUGUACGGAACGAAACGGUCCUGGUUAAUACCUGGGGCUAAUGACGGUACCGUAAGAAUAAGCACCGGCUAACUACGUGCCAGCAGCCGCGGUAAUACGUAGGGUGCAAGCGUUAAUCGGAAUUACUGGGCGUAAAGCGUGCGCAGGCGGUUUUGUAAGACAGGCGUGAAAUCCCCGGGCUCAACCUGGGAAUGGCGCUUGUGACUGCAAGGCUGGAGUGCGGCAGAGGGGGAUGGAAUUCCGCGUGUAGCAGUGAAAUGCGUAGAUAUGCGGAGGAACACCGAUGGCGAAGGCAAUCCCCUGGGCCUGCACUGACGCUCAUGCACGAAAGCGUGGGGAGCAAACAGGAUUAGAAACCCCGGUAGUCC
This 450-nucleotide ribosomal RNA is filed under the name uncultured bacterium. RNAcentral's name for it is "partial 16S ribosomal RNA". It matches the Rfam family "Bacterial small subunit ribosomal RNA", at positions 354 to 796 of the family's 1533-position model. The record is from RNAcentral.